RNAcentral lists this ribosomal RNA (498 nucleotides) under Triticum aestivum (bread wheat). RNAcentral's name for it is "partial small subunit ribosomal RNA". Lineage: Eukaryota; Viridiplantae; Streptophyta; Magnoliopsida; Poales; Poaceae. The record is from RNAcentral.
AUGUCUCAGUUGAUAGGUCGCGUUCCGGGUUUUAUUUUCGUCCCACCUCGCCUGGGUUUUUUUGGUACCACCUUCACUGGUUUAUUUUCGUCCUGCCUCAACCUACGAAAAGAAACCAACGAAAAAAAAUCGAGGCCCCCUCGCACGAACCAGGAGCGAGGCCUCCAGUCUGCCCUCGAUCGUCUCGCUACGAGGACGAGAACCACGCCCCAGCCGCCGGAGCCCUACGCCGCCGCCGAGAUCGGAGAGGAGCCGCCGCCGCCGACGUUCGAGAGGAGCUGGCAACCACGACCUCCCUCCCCAGCUGGCCGCCACCACCCCCUCCCCAAGCAGCCAUGUACAGCACGGCGGCGCCCACGCGCCUGGCCUAGGUGGGUCUCGGCCUCCCUCCUCCCUUCGUCGAAGGCCAGGAGCUCCCCCUCCCCGACCCGAUCUGGUGGAGAGAGGGCCAGGCCUUGCCACUCCGGUGGUCGCUGUGGCCAGAUCUGUCCGGGGUAG